GAGAGAAGGCGGGCGAGGCAGAGCCCGGCGGCUACAAGCGGCAGCGGCGAUGGAGGGAUGGAGGGAUGGAGAGGAGGAGGAGGAAGAUGAGGAGGAGGGCUUUAAAGACACAGCAGGGAGAGGCGUGGCCACCGCCGCCGCCUCAGGUGAGCCGCGGGCCGCCCCUGGCCCCCGGGGAGGCGGCUGUCGGGAGCCCAGGACGGAAAGUGUUGUCUCCGGGAGAUGAGGCGAUUCCUCCAGGUUUUUCUUCAUUGCCAUACCUUCAGAUCAACACCUCUCAUCCAUUAAAGUGCUAUCAACAUAUGUUGAACUGGUACUUAUGUUCCAGCACAGAACACCAGCUCCAUCACAGGGAAUCAUUUUAUCUGAAAGGUGCCCUUUGAUUUCAGCCUCAUUAUUUGAAUCUAUCUAGCUUCACAGAGCUACAUACAGUUGGUGUGACGUGUUAAUAAAAUACAAACUUAAGGAAAAGACUAGGGUAAU
This 483-nucleotide long non-coding RNA is filed under the name Cyanistes caeruleus (blue tit). RNAcentral's name for it is "lncRNA (ENSCCEG00000016759.1)". The record is from RNAcentral. Lineage: Eukaryota; Metazoa; Chordata; Aves; Passeriformes; Paridae.